RNAcentral lists this ribosomal RNA (449 nucleotides) under uncultured bacterium. RNAcentral's name for it is "partial 16S ribosomal RNA". It matches the Rfam family "Bacterial small subunit ribosomal RNA", at positions 29 to 523 of the family's 1533-position model. The record is from RNAcentral.
AACGAACGCUGGCGGCAUGCCUAACACAUGCAAGUCGAACGAAGGCUUCGGCCUUAGUGGCGCACGGGUGCGUAACGCGUGGGAAUCUGCCCCUCGGUUCGGAAUAACAGAUAGAAAUGACUGCUAAUACCGGACGAUGACUUCGGUCCAAAGAUUUAUCGCCGAGGGAUGAGCCCGCGUAAGAUUAGGUAGUUGGUGGGGUAAAGGCCUACCAAGUCGACGAUCUUUAGCUGGUCUGAGAGGAUGAUCAGCCACACUGGGACUGAGACACGGCCCAGACUCCUACGGGAGGCAGCAGUGGGGAAUAUUGGACAAUGGGCGAAAGCCUGAUCCAGCAAUGCCGCGUGAGUGAUGAAGGCCUUAGGGUUGUAAAGCUCUUUUACCUGGGAUGAUAAUGACAGUACCUGGAGAAUAAGCUCCGGCUAACUCCGUGCCAGCCGCCGCAGUAA